RNAcentral lists this ribosomal RNA (307 nucleotides) under uncultured bacterium. Its description in RNAcentral is "bacterial SSU rRNA". It matches the Rfam family "Bacterial small subunit ribosomal RNA", at positions 775 to 1079 of the family's 1533-position model. The record is from RNAcentral.
GGAUUAGAUACCCGGGUAGUCCACGCCAUAAACGAUGACAACUAGACGUCGGAAGGAACUGCCUUUCGGUGUCGCAGCUAACGCGUUAAGUUGUCCGCCUGGGGAGUACGGCCGCAAGGUUGAAACUCAAAGAAAUUGACGGGGACCCGCACAAGCGGUGGAGCAUGUGGUUUAAUUCGAUGCAACGCGAAGAACCUUACCUGGUCUUGACAUGUCUGGAAGACCGCAGAGAUGUGGUUGUGCCCGAAAGGGAACCAGAACACAGGUGCUGCAUGGCUGUCGUCAGCUCGUGUCGUGAGAUGUUGGG